UACGGGGGGGGCAAGCGUUGUUCGGAAUUACUGGGCGUAAAGGGCUCGUAGGUGGCCAACUAAGUCAGACGUGAAAUCCCUCAGCUUAACUGGGGAACUGCGUCUGAUACUGGAUGGCUUGAGUCCGGGAGAGGUGAGUGGAAUUCCCAGUGUAGCGGUGAAAUGCGUAGAUAUUGGGAGGAACACCAGUGGCGAAGGCGGCUCACUGGACCGGAACUGACGCUGAGGCGCGAAAGCGUGGGGAGCAAACGGG
This 253-nucleotide ribosomal RNA is filed under the name uncultured bacterium. RNAcentral describes it as "partial 16S ribosomal RNA". It matches the Rfam family "Bacterial small subunit ribosomal RNA", at positions 524 to 776 of the family's 1533-position model. The record is from RNAcentral.